AUACACGAGCAACCGGUUUCUGCUGAGCCAGUCACCAGUGCAGUGACGGCAAGUUAUGAGCAAUUCAGAAAUUAGCUGUUGACGUGCAUGUACACAGGCCUACAUACAUCCCAUACAACUUUCACCAUGGACUCGACAAAGAUGAAGACACCACACAUUCUGUACAUCGAAA
Long non-coding RNA from Asterias rubens (European starfish), 172 nucleotides. RefSeq lists it as uncharacterized. The transcript has 3 exons. The record is from RefSeq and is a predicted model, not a curated record. Lineage: Eukaryota; Metazoa; Echinodermata; Asteroidea; Forcipulatida; Asteriidae.